RNAcentral lists this ribosomal RNA (253 nucleotides) under uncultured bacterium. RNAcentral describes it as "partial 16S ribosomal RNA". It matches the Rfam family "Bacterial small subunit ribosomal RNA", at positions 524 to 776 of the family's 1533-position model. The record is from RNAcentral.
GACGAACCGAGCGAACGUUGCUCGGAAUCACUGGGCGUAAAGCGCACGUAGGCGGAUUGUUAAGUCAGGGGUGAAAUCCUGGAGCUCAACUCCAGAACUGCCUUUGAUACUGGCGAUCUUGAGUCCGGGAGAGGUGAGUGGAACUGCGAGUGUAGAGGUGAAAUUCGUAGAUAUUCGCAAGAACACCAGUGGCGAAGGCGGCUCACUGGCCCGGUACUGACGCUGAGGUGCGAAAGCGUGGGGAGCAAACAGG